Molecule: ribosomal RNA, 170 nt
Filed under: Alectis ciliaris (African pompano)
Lineage: Eukaryota; Metazoa; Chordata; Actinopteri; Carangiformes; Carangidae
Description: partial 12S rRNA
Source: RNAcentral
CACCGCGGUUAUACGAGGGGCUCGAGUUGACAGACUAACGGCGUAAAGAGUGGUUAAGGAAAAUAUUCAACUAAAGCGGAACGCCCUCACAGCUGUUAUACGUUUCCGAGGGUAUGAACCCCAACUACGAAAGUGGCUUUACACUACCUGAACCCACGAAAGCUAAGAAA